AUGAACGCUAGCGACAGGCCUAACACAUGCAAGUCGAGGGGCAGCACAAGGAGCAAUCUGAGGUGGCGACCGGCGCACGGGUGAGUAACACGUAUGCAACCUGCCUGUAAGCGGGGAAUAACCCGUUGAAAGACGGACUAAUACCGCAUAAUACUAAAUUACUGCAUGGUAAUUUAUUUAAACAUUUAUGGCUUACAGAUGGGCAUGCGCAUGAUUAGCUAGUUGGAGAGGUAACGGCUCCCCAAGGCAACGAUCAUUAGGGGUUCUGAGAGGAAGGUCCCCACACUGGUACUGAGACACGGACCAGACUCCUACGGGAGGCAGCAGUGAGGAAUAUUGGUCAAUGGACGAGAGUCUGAACCAGCCAAGUCGCGUGCAGGAAGAAUGUCCUAAUGGAUUGUAAACUGCUUUUGCAGGGGAAUAAAGUGCAUCACGUGUGAUGUUUUGUAUGUACUCUGCGAAUAAGGAUCGGCUAACUCCGUGCCAGCAGCAGC
Molecule: ribosomal RNA, 494 nt
Filed under: uncultured bacterium
Lineage: Bacteria
Description: bacterial SSU rRNA
Rfam family: Bacterial small subunit ribosomal RNA
Source: RNAcentral